Molecule: ribosomal RNA, 465 nt
Filed under: uncultured bacterium
Lineage: Bacteria
Description: bacterial SSU rRNA
Rfam family: Bacterial small subunit ribosomal RNA
Source: RNAcentral
GUGAACGCUGGCGGCGUGCUUAACACAUGCAAGUCGAACGGUAACAGGAAGUAGCUUGCUACUUUGCUGACGAGUGGCGCACGGGUGAGUCAACUAUAGUUAAUGUGCCUCUAAGACUGGGAUAGCCACUGGAAACGGUGAUUAAUACUAGAUACACCUCUUUAGCUCAAGCUAGAGAGGGAAACGUUUUUUCGCUUCGAGAUCAGACUAUAUCCUAUCAGUUAGUUGGUGAGGUAAUGGCUCACCAAGGCUAUGACGGGUAUCUGGUUUGAGAGGAGGAUCAGACACACUGGAACUGAGACACGGUCCAGACUCCUACGGGAGGCAGCAGUGAGGAAUAUUGCACAAUGGAGGAAACUCUGAUGCAGCAACGCCGCGUGGAGGAGGACGCAGUUCGGUGUGUAAACUCAUUUGAAGAGGGAAGAUAAUGACGGUACCUCUUGAAUAAGCACCGGCUAACUCCGU